CACUUCAAGUGGCAAAUUUCUGAGGAGAAAUUCGAGGAUGAAACAUCCAUCAACUAGCAUCAUUGUUACAAAUUCAUCACUGUUGGAGCUGAUGAUUUCGGCACAACAUUGGCGGGUUCUUUCUUCUAUCUGCUUCAUAGUUUUCAAAUAAAU
Long non-coding RNA from Telopea speciosissima, 153 nucleotides. RefSeq lists it as uncharacterized. The record is from RefSeq and is a predicted model, not a curated record. The transcript is spliced from 4 exons. NCBI's taxonomy places the organism in Eukaryota, Viridiplantae, Streptophyta, Magnoliopsida, Proteales, Proteaceae.